GCGAUACAGGGUGACAGCCCCGUACACAAAAAUGCACAUAUUGUGAGCUCGAUGAGUAGGGCGGGACACGUGGUAUCCUGUCUGAAUAUGGGGGGACCAUCCUCCAAGGCUAAAUACUCCUGACUGACCGAUAGUGAACCAGUACCGUGAGGGAAAGGCGAAAAGAACCCCGGCGAGGGGAGUGAAAAAGAACCUGAAACCGUGUACGUACAAGCAGUGGGAGCCUCUUAAUGGGGUGACUGCGUACCUUUUGUAUAAUGGGUCAGCGACUUAUAUUCUGUAGCAAGGUUAACCGAAUAGGGGAGCCGAAGGGAAACCGAGUCUUAACUGGGCGUUAAGUUGCAGGGUAUAGACCCGAAACCCGGUGAUCUAGCCAUGGGCAGGUUGAAGGUUGGGUAACACUAACUGGAGGACCGAACCGACUAAUGUUGAAAAAUUAGCGGAUGACUUGUGGCUGGGGGUGAAAGGCCAAUCAAACCGGGAGAUAGCUGGUUCUCCCCGAAAGCUAUUUAGGUAGCGCCUCGUGAAUUCAUCUCCGGGGGUAGAGCACUGUUUCGGCAAGGGGGUCAUCCCGACUUACCAACCCGAUGCAAACUGCGAAUACCGGAGAAUGUUAUCACGGGAGACACACGGCGGGUGCUAACGUCCGUCGUGAAGAGGGAAACAACCCAGACCGCCAGCUAAGGUCCCAAAGUCAUGGUUAAGUGGGAAACGAUGUGGGAAGGCCCAGACAGCCAGGAUGUUGGCUUAGAAGCAGCCAUCAUUUAAAGAAAGCGUAAUAGCUCACUGGUCGAGUCGGCCUGCGCGGAAGAUGUAACGGGGCUAAACCAUGCACCGAAGCUGCGGCAGCGACGCUUAUGCGUUGUUGGGUAGGGGAGCGUUCUGUAAGCCUGUGAAGGUGUGCUGUGAGGCAUGCUGGAGGUAUCAGAAGUGCGAAUGCUGACAUAAGUAACGAUAAAGCGGGUGAAAAGCCCGCUCGCCGGAAGACCAAGGGUUCCUGUCCAACGUUAAUCGGGGCAGGGUGAGUCGACCCCUAAGGCGAGGCCGAAAGGCGUAGUCGAUGGGAAACAGGUUAAUAUUCCUGUACUUGGUGUUACUGCGAAGGGGGGACGGAGAAGGCUAUGUUGGCCGGGCGACGGUUGUCCCGGUUUAAGCGUGUAGGCUGGUUUUCCAGGCAAAUCCGGAAAACCAAGGCUGAGGCGUGAUGACGAGGCACUACGGUGCUGAAGCAACAAAUGCCCUGCUUCCAGGAAAAGCCUCUAAGCAUCAGGUAACAUCAAAUCGUACCCCAAACCGACACAGGUGGUCAGGUAGAGAAUACCAAGGCGCUUGAGAGAACUCGGGUGAAGGAACUAGGCAAAAUGGUGCCGUAACUUCGGGAGAAGGCACGCUGAUAUGUAGGUGAAGCGACUUGCUCGUGGAGCUGAAAUCAGUCGAAGAUACCAGCUGGCUGCAACUGUUUAUUAAAAACACAGCACUGUGCAAACACGAAAGUGGACGUAUACGGUGUGACGCCUGCCCGGUGCCGGAAGGUUAAUUGAUGGGGUUAGCGGCAACGCGAAGCUCUUGAUCGAAGCCCCGGUAAACGGCGGCCGUAACUAUAACGGUCCUAAGGUAGCGAAAUUCCUUGUCGGGUAAGUUCCGACCUGCACGAAUGGCGUAAUGAUGGCCAGGCUGUCUCCACCCGAGACUCAGUGAAAUUGAACUCGCUGUGAAGAUGCAGUGUACCCGCGGCAAGACGGAAAGACCCCGUGAACCUUUACUAUAGCUUGACACUGAACAUUGAGCCUUGAUGUGUAGGAUAGGUGGGAGGCUUUGAAGUGUGGACGCCAGUCUGCAUGGAGCCGACCUUGAAAUACCACCCUUUAAUGUUUGAUGUUCUAACGUGGGCCCCUAAUCCGGGUUGCGGACAGUGUCUGGUGGGUAGUUUGACUGGGGCGGUCUCCUCCUAAAGAGUAACGGAGGAGCACGAAGGUUGGCUAAUCCUGGUCGGACAUCAGGAGGUUAGUGCAAUGGCAUAAGCCAGCUUGACUGCGAGCGUGACGGCGCGAGCAGGUGCGAAAGCAGGUCAUAGUGAUCCGGUGGUUCUGAAUGGAAGGGCCAUCGCUCAACGGAUAAAAGGUACUCCGGGGAUAACAGGCUGAUACCGCCCAAGAGUUCAUAUCGACGGCGGUGUUUGGCACCUCGAUGUCGGCUCAUCACAUCCUGGGGCUGAAGUAGGUCCCAAGGGUAUGGCUGUUCGCCAUUUAAAGUGGUACGCGAGCUGGGUUUAGAACGUCGUGAGACAGUUCGGUCCCUAUCUGCCGUGGGCGCUGGAGAACUGAGGGGGGCUGCUCCUAGUACGAGAGGACCGGAGUGGACGCAUCACUGGUGUUCGGGUUGUCAUGCCAAUGGCACUGCCCGGUAGCUAAAUGCGGAAGAGAUAAGUGCUGAAAGCAUCUAAGCACGAAACUUGCCCCGAGAUGAGUUCUCCCUGAGACUUAGAGUCUCCUGAAGGAACGUUGAAGACGACGACGUUGAUAGGCCGGGUGUGUAAGCGCAGCGAUGCGUUGAGCUAACCGGUACUAAUGAACCGUGAGGCUUAACCUU
This 2589-nucleotide ribosomal RNA is filed under the name Escherichia coli HVH 128 (4-7030436). Its description in RNAcentral is "bacterial LSU rRNA". It matches the Rfam family "Bacterial large subunit ribosomal RNA", at positions 354 to 2925 of the family's 2925-position model. The record is from RNAcentral. Lineage: Bacteria; Pseudomonadati; Pseudomonadota; Gammaproteobacteria; Enterobacterales; Enterobacteriaceae.